This 467-nucleotide ribosomal RNA is filed under the name uncultured bacterium. Its description in RNAcentral is "partial 16S ribosomal RNA". It matches the Rfam family "Bacterial small subunit ribosomal RNA", at positions 28 to 506 of the family's 1533-position model. The record is from RNAcentral.
GACGAACGCUGGCGGCGUGCUUAACACAUGCAAGUCGAACGGAAAGGCCCUGCUUUUGUGGGGUGCUCGAGUGGCGAACGGGUGAGUAACACGUGAGUAACCUGCCCUUGACUUUGGGAUAACUUCAGGAAACUGGGGCUAAUACCGGAUAGGAGCUCCUGCUGCAUGGUGGGGGUUGGAAAGUUUCGGCGGUUGGGGAUGGACUCGCGGCUUAUCAGCUUGUUGGUGGGGUAGUGGCUUACCAAGGCUUUGACGGGUAGCCGGCCUGAGAGGGUGACCGGCCACAUUGGGACUGAGAUACGGCCCAGACUCCUACAGGAGGCAGCAGUGGGGAAUAUUGCACAAUGGGCGGAAGCCUGAUGCAGCAACGCCGCGUGCGGGAUGACGGCCUUCGGGUGGUAAACCGCUUUCGCCUGUGACGAAGCGUGAGUGACGGUAAUGGGUAAAGAAGCACCGGCUAACUACGU